Molecule: ribosomal RNA, 566 nt
Filed under: Rhodotorula taiwanensis
Lineage: Eukaryota; Fungi; Basidiomycota; Microbotryomycetes; Sporidiobolales; Sporidiobolaceae
Description: partial large subunit ribosomal RNA
Rfam family: Eukaryotic large subunit ribosomal RNA
Source: RNAcentral
UAGCGGCGAGCGAAGCGGGAAGAGCUCAAAUUUAUAAUCUGGCACCUUCGGUGUCCGAGUUGUAAUCUCUAGAAGUGUUUUCCGCGUUGGACCGCACACAAGUCUGUUGGAAUACAGCGGCAUAGUGGUGAGACCCCCGUAUAUGGUGCGGACGCCCAACGCUUUGUGAUACACUUUCGAAGAGUCGAGUUGUUUGGGAAUGCAGCUCAAAUUGGGUGGUAAAUUCCAUCUAAAGCUAAAUAUUGGCGAGAGACCGAUAGCGAACAAGUACCGUGAGGGAAAGAUGAAAAGCACUUUGGAAAGAGAGUUAACAGUACGUGAAAUUGUUGGAAGGGAAACGCUUGAAGUCAGACUUGCUUGCCGAGCAAUCGGUUUGCAGGCCAGCAUCAGUUUUCUGGGGUGGAUAAUGGUAGAGAGAAGGUAGCAGUUUCGGCUGUGUUAUAGCUCUUUGCUGGAUACACCUUGGGGGACUGAGGAACGCAGUGUGCCUUACGGCGGAUUUCUCGAGAUCUUCACACUUAGGAUGCUGGUGGAAUGGCUUUAAACGACCCGUCUUGAACCCACGG